This 495-nucleotide ribosomal RNA is filed under the name uncultured bacterium. RNAcentral describes it as "bacterial SSU rRNA". It matches the Rfam family "Bacterial small subunit ribosomal RNA", at positions 28 to 512 of the family's 1533-position model. The record is from RNAcentral.
GACGAACGCUGGCGGCAGGCCUAAUACAUGCAAGUCGAACGGCAGCACAGCAGAGCUUGCUCUGUGGGUGGCGAGUGGCGGACGGGUGAGGAAUACAUGGGAAUCUGCCCAGUCGUGGGGGAUAACGUAUGGAAACGUACGCUAAUACCGCAUGCGCCCUACGGGGGAAAGCCGGGGACCGCAAGGCCUGGCGCGAUUGGAUGAGCCCAUGUUCGAUUAGCUAGUUGGCGGGGUAAAGGCCCACCAAGGCGACGAUCGAUAGCUGGUCUGAGAGGAUGAUCAGCCACACUGGAACUGAGACACGGUCCAGACUCCUACGGGAGGCAGCAGUAGGGAAUAUUGGACAAUGGGGGCAACCCUGAUCCAGCCAUGCCGCGUGAGUGAAGAAGGCCCUCGGGUUGUAAAGCUCUUUUGUCCGGAAAGAAAAGCAUCUGGUUAAUACCCGGGUGUUCUGACGGUACCGGAAGAAUAAGCACCGGCUAACUUCGUGCCAGC